CUUGUCAGAAUUACUUCCAGUGGAGCUCGUAAUAUAGGCUUUUACUACGGUUUGGGUGCUCUUAUUAUGCUGAAGAAAUUCCUCCAAGUGAACCCCUAAUGCUGUAUCCUAAACAGACACAGCAAAGGUCCCUUUUCUAUAUUUGAAUCGGCUAAACUUUUAUAUGUUGAUUGUCUUUUACUUGGGCUUUUGGCAUCUAGUGUCUGCAAAAGGUCUAAAUGGCUUCUGAGGUUUUGGUAUCAUAUAAGGAAGUAAAGCUUAUAUAUUUUCAGAAAUUUUAGCAUUUUUAGAUGAGCAAUGCAUUAACAUUUGUGAAUUGACCCAAGAAAUGACACUGCUCAUCUUAAUCUGUGGAUCAUAAAGGGAGAAGAUGCCAUUCACCUGCAGAUCUGAGUCAUUUCUAAGACUCUAAAAAAUAAUUUAGCGCUACAACAAAUAUUCAUAUUACAUUAUCCUCCUUAUUGAGUGUUUAUUGGAUCCCUAUUCCAAAAUUACUUAGUAGUACUAUUGUUAUUAUAUAAUUGUUGUUGCCAUUAACAGCAGCAGAAUUGUGAUUGUUGUUAUUAUUGAGGACUUUCUGUUGUUCUAUGAAUCCACUUAUUUUUUAGUGUCUCCAAUUAUUCUUACAAUUGCUUCAUGCUAACAUGUCUCAUGAAGACCUAGCCGUUUCCCAUAAUGUUCCUUUACUAUUUUGCAUGGCUUUAUACUCAGCUUCUCAAUUAGUUUAUUCUUGAUAGUUUUAUCUAUAAUGUUAUGUUCCAUUAUAUUCUAUUGUUUGUAAUCUUGUGCUUUCUUGUUCUAUAAACUUAACCAAGGGUAACAAACAAGAUGCUGGCUAAGGUAGAAAACGAGUAGCCCAACAUGUUAUAUAGAGUAAACAGGAAUUUCAUGUCCGUGCUUGACAUGAGUGAUGAUUCAAAGCAUAAAUUUGAGAAACAAGUUUAUCAGUUUCUCUCUGCUUAUUGGUUAGGUUGAUCAUAUUUGUAGUGUUUAGUCAAUAUCUAGGUUGAAUUACUGGGCAGACAAAUUGAACUGCAAUUUCUUGGAUGACCACACUGUAAAUUGACAUAGAAAAAAGAUGUCUGCUAAUCGUCUCAAAUUGUUGUUUCAUGAACAAGGCUGAUUUCUAACCAAAGACACUUAGAUUUGAUAUGAAAGAAAGUUCUUCCAAUAAUCUUUAUGAAGCCAAUCUUAAAUCUCAAUGGUCAAAUAGAUGGUCUUGGAUGAAGAGAUGGCUCAAGUAUGAAAGAUCAUAAUGUGUGGCAGUCCAAAUUGCUUUUAAUGCAUUGGUUUCAUCAGAAAACAAGGAUGGUUAUAGCCAAUAGCUUGCAGUCGAACAUAAGGAACUCCUUUUCUUUUGUUUUUUAAACAUACAGACAACUCAAUAAUACCAUUUCUCAAGAAGCUUUAGAGGCAUAUCUCUUUGUGUGCGUGUGCGUGUGUUUUUUUUUUAAUUUUUAGUUUGGCAUUGUAGCAAGCUAGAGCUAAAAUAGUUAUCAUUGUUUUUCUCAGUGAUGUUAGAGAAGGUUAGGAAAUGCAUGACAGACAAGGGAAGCUUUAACCUAUUCCUAAUUAUCUAAACAAGAAAAUAACUAAUGGCUAUUAGGUGAGCAGAGAUCAUCAGGAUAUGCCUCUAAGAAAACCUUAUAAAUAUAGAAAAAUACAAUUUGCCACUCUCUCAUCUUUCCUGUUUAGGAUGCCAGUUGCCUUAUUGUUCAUUUGACAGUAUUAUCUGCAAGAAAACAAAUUACUUGAUUAGGUACUAGAAACAUUCAAUCUUUUAUUUAAAAUCAUAAAAAAGACUGGAUAAUUAAUUGGGUAUAGAAGAAAAUGUAGCAAGUACUUGAACCUUUUCGACCAUUUUCUCAAUCAUUCUCUUUUGUUGUGGAUAGGAAAGUUAUGUAUUUCUUUCUUAAUUUCUAUAUAAUUGUGAAGCAUUUCUAGACAAAUAUACUAAUAAGUUUAUAUAUAUUCACCAAAUCUGAUGGGCCUUUGGCUUAGUUUUCUUUUACCUAUUACUAUUAUAAUUUACUCCUUUGUCAUCUGAAGUUGAUUGCAAGUGACCUGCCCUUAUCAAUAGAGUAUCUUUGUUAAAAUAGUGCACUAGUCCAACUUCAUACCUAUUAUAUAUUGAAACUUCCAGUGGCUUCUGCUUUCCACUUUCACUUGCAUUGUCUAAACCCCUAAUCAUGUAGCAGUGAGCUCAGCAUGCAUGCUCAGGAUGAUAUGACCCUUUCUUUGUGUAGUUUUCCUUUUGUAAAAUAGGCUUCUAUAUUUUUAUCAUCUCGAAUGAGCUGAGCAUGUUAGCACCUGAUUUACUGUAAUCACGCAAGUAGUUAUGGUAUUAAUUUGGUUAUCACUUUCAAAUCUUACUCCAGGGAAUCUGCAAAUAGUAGUCAAACCUUAAUUUUUGAAAUGUACUAAACAAAUGUUAAAAUAUAUACUUAUGGUUGAUGACCUAUUUCUGGGACUUGAAUGGUUGACAAGGGAAGGAAGUAUGAUGCGGACUCUAUAAUUCUUUUAUUAUAUUGUUUCAAACUUUUAAAGAUUGAUCUAGUUGUACCUGCUAUGAUUAAUAGUGUCACAAUUGACUCUACCAGUUCAGGUCUACAUUCUAAGAUAUGCAGUUUAUCUGAGAUUUUUGGCUGUUGAUUUAGAUGCUUGCCUGAAAUGCAUCUUAAAACUGUGUUCUAUACUUCAAACUUCGCAGAGAUUUAGAUUUUUGAUGAUCUAAAUUCUCCAUCUGGGAUCCAUUUAUGGGCCACAUUGAGUUUGAGUAGCACUUUCCUUUCGCAUACAAAUGCAUCAAAAGUUAAAUUUAGAUGUAGAGGCAAUUUGCAAUAUGUACACGUUAAAUAUUCCAAUCGGUCAUUGCACUUUUGUAACUACGAACACAUGUAGGGGGCAUUUGGUUGCCUGCAACUGAAAAUUUCUGUAAAUAACACUUCAGGUAGAAGCAAAAUCUGCAAGGAGUAACUGCUGGCACAGCUGUUUGGAUACAUGCAUAUCAAGUUGCUACUCGUGGUUGCAAGUUGCAACUAAGGUAGAAGACAUGCUAUCCAAACUGGAAGAUUGACUGGCCAGAACAGCUGGGGCUAUUCUGCUAUGAUAAAUGGUAACUUUGAGUCUGCAUGAUUUCAAAGAAUUGGCAGGAGAUGAUAAUGUAUGCCUUUAGUAUUUUGGUGUUUGAUUGUGUCACUGGAUUGCGGAACUUACUCUCUUUGCCGUAGACUAAUAUCUUGAUUUGGCAGGGAUAAACUAUUGUGCCGACAGAGUAUAUGGCAGGUAGAUAUGCUUUUCAUGGGGCCCUGAGGAAAUAGAGAAAAAAGGUAUAUGCUACAUUGUUCUGGUAUUUGUAGGUGGCUAAUAAAUUCGUGCUUCGAUGAACAAUUAUUAUGUAGAUGUGUGUUUGUACCUAUGUCUGAAUACGUCUAGGUACAGAUGGAUGUUGUUUCAAUUAGCUUGUGGGUCACUCUUGAUGGUUGAUGCUGAUCAAGUUUUCAGGAUUGUGUUCUCUGCUUCACAAAUUGCUGACAAAUAUUUAUGGUGCUCUAGAAGUUGUGCAUGAUAAUGGUGGGAGGGGGAUCCACUACCAUCGGGAAGGGGACUGUAAGAUGAGAGGCUCUUUGUUCCUUGUCUCUUCCAAGAAGAUGAGUUCCACCAUGCAGCCCAGGUACAGAUUCAAAGUUCUCUCCCAAAGAUAACAUGGUCAUCCUGAUGACCUAUGAACCUCGUGUGUCUGCUCUAUGAGAGAGUAGGAGAGUUGGUUUGAGGAUACAAAACAUUAGGCUUUGCCUUAUAAUAUUUACCUAGCAAGAUUUCAAAUAUAAGUUGGAUUGGCAUGUAUCAAUUGGUAUUUGUUGGCCCAACAAAGUAGCAAAACCUGUAUAUGAUUCGGAAGGAGCUCUGUGUUUGUACUCUUAGUAAGCUCGUCUUAGUUAU
This 3942-nucleotide long non-coding RNA is filed under the name Musa acuminata (dwarf banana). Its description in RNAcentral is "long non-coding RNA (MACU_LNC006090)". The record is from RNAcentral. Lineage: Eukaryota; Viridiplantae; Streptophyta; Magnoliopsida; Zingiberales; Musaceae.